This 32-nucleotide ribosomal RNA is filed under the name Alternaria alternata. RNAcentral describes it as "partial small subunit ribosomal RNA". The record is from RNAcentral. RNAcentral also lists the same sequence under 1 other name. Lineage: Eukaryota; Fungi; Ascomycota; Dothideomycetes; Pleosporales; Pleosporaceae.
CUCCGUAGGGUGAACCUGCGGAGGGAUCAUUA